UUUUUUCCCCUGGAUGGGCUUUCUAAGUUCAAAUGUCUAGUUUUCUGGAUUUUGUAAACCCGCGGAUCGCACCGCUUUGCCUCCGUGACGACUGCGCGGCGUCCUACCGAGGCUGCCGUGAUCCCGGUGACAGAAUGACACAGUUUCUGUAAGCCCGUGACUACAUCAGAAGCUCUUCCACUUUUGAUUUGUUUCAAUCGGCCAUGUUUGCCGAGUGUUGAAGGUAGGGCUGGGAAAGACAGUGCUGUGCCUUGCUCAGGGCUGUAGGAGAGGCCAGGCAGGAUACACAGUCGCGGAAACAUGUUUGUUUUUCCGUAAUGAUUAAACUUUGAUUUAAA
This is a long non-coding RNA of Apus apus (common swift), 338 nucleotides long. RefSeq lists it as uncharacterized. Lineage: Eukaryota; Metazoa; Chordata; Aves; Apodiformes; Apodidae. The record is from RefSeq and is a predicted model, not a curated record. The transcript is spliced from 3 exons.